AACACGUGGAUAAUCUACCCUAAGGUGGAGGAUAACCUCGGGAAACUGAGAAUAAUACUCCAUAAGUCUAGGAUACUGGAAUGUACUUAGGCUGAAAACUUCGGUGCCUUAGGAUGAGUCUGCGGACUAUCAGGUUGUAGUCAGGGUAAAGACCUGACUAGCCUACAACGGAUACGGGUUGUGAGAGCAAUAACCCGGAGAUGAUAUCUGAGACACGAUAUCAGGCCCUACGGGGCGCAGCAGGCGCGAAAACUUCACACUGCACGAAAGCGCGAUGAGGGAAUCCCAAGUGCUUGCACGUAAGUGUAAGCUGUUUCUAUGUCUAAAACGCAUAGAGAGUAAGAGCUGGGUAAGACGGGUGCCAGCCGCCGCGGUAAUACCUGCAGCUCAAGUGGUGGCCGUUAUUAUUGGGCCUAAAACGUCCGUAGCCGGUUUAUUAAAUGCCUGGGUAAAUCGGGCCGCUUAACGGUUCGAAUUCCGGGUAGACUGAUAGACUUGGGACCGGGAGAAGCUAGAGGUACUCCUGGGGUAGAGGUGAAAUUCUGUAAUCCUAGGGGG
RNAcentral lists this ribosomal RNA (558 nucleotides) under uncultured archaeon. RNAcentral's name for it is "bacterial SSU rRNA". It matches the Rfam family "Archaeal small subunit ribosomal RNA", at positions 95 to 655 of the family's 1478-position model. The record is from RNAcentral.